Molecule: ribosomal RNA, 369 nt
Filed under: uncultured bacterium
Lineage: Bacteria
Description: partial 16S ribosomal RNA
Rfam family: Bacterial small subunit ribosomal RNA
Source: RNAcentral
CCUACGGGUGGCAGCAGGGGGGAAUAUUGCGCAAUGGGCGAAAGCCUGACGCAGCGACGCCGCGUGAGGGAUGAAGGUCUUCGGAGCGGAAACCUCUGUCAGCAGGGAAGAACGGUCACGGUGCUAAGCAGCAGUGAAUGGACGGUACCUGCAAAGGAAGCACCGGCUAACUCCGUGCCAGCAGCCGCGGUAAUACGGAGGGUGCGAGCGUUAAUCGGAAUUACUGGGCGUAAAGCGCUCGUAGGCGGUAUGUCAAGUCAAGGGUGAAAGCCCCGCGCUCACCUUGGGAACUGCCUUUGAAACUGGCAAACUGGAGUGUGUUAGAGGUUAGUGGCAUUCCAGGUGUAGCCGUGAAAUCCGUAGAUAUCU